Molecule: ribosomal RNA, 407 nt
Filed under: uncultured bacterium
Lineage: Bacteria
Description: bacterial SSU rRNA
Rfam family: Bacterial small subunit ribosomal RNA
Source: RNAcentral
AGCGAACGCUGGCGGCGUACUUAACACAUGCAAGUCGAACGAGGAUCGUCGGUGUAGCAAUACAUCGGCGGUUCUAGUGGCGCACGGGUGAGUAACACGUGGGUAACCUGCCCUUGAGUUCGGGAUACCCUCUCGAAAGGGAGGCUAAUACCGGAUACGAUCCUCGGAUUGCGAAAUCUGGGGAGGAAAGGUGGCGCAAGCUGCCGCUCUUGGAGGGGCUCGCGGCCUAUCAGCUAGUUGGUGAGGUAACGGCUCACCAAGGCUAUGACGGGUAGCUGGUCUGAGAGGACGACCAGCCACACGGGAACUGAGACACGGUCCCGACUCCUACGGGAGGCAGCAGUGGGGAAUUUUCCGCAAUGGGCGAAAGCCUGACGGAGUGACGCCGCGUGGGGGACGAAGGCCUC